This 69-nucleotide transfer RNA is filed under the name Cobitis takatsuensis (Japanese spinous loach). Its description in RNAcentral is "tRNA-His". It matches the Rfam family "tRNA". Rfam says of the family: Transfer RNA (tRNA) molecules are approximately 80 nucleotides in length. Lineage: Eukaryota; Metazoa; Chordata; Actinopteri; Cypriniformes; Cobitidae. The record is from RNAcentral.
GUAAGUAUAGUUUAAAUAAAAUGUUAGAUUGUGAUUCUAAAGACAGGGGCUAAAAUCCCCUUACUAACC